Long non-coding RNA from Neofelis nebulosa (Clouded leopard), 320 nucleotides. RefSeq lists it as uncharacterized. The transcript is spliced from 2 exons. Lineage: Eukaryota; Metazoa; Chordata; Mammalia; Carnivora; Felidae. The record is from RefSeq and is a predicted model, not a curated record.
GGUGAUGGAAGAGUAGUGUGCCCAGAAGGUGUAGGGAAGCUUCGAGCUGUUACCAUAGAUGUUAAAGUUUGCCCUACACACCUUUUCCAUCUGACUCUAGGUUAUAUCUUCUCAUAAUAAACUGGCGAUUUAGUUUCAUUGCCUUUAUCUUCAUGUGUCAGUUCUACCGAUGGUCAAAGAAAUAAGUGCUAGAUAAUGGAAAUAAAAUGGAAUGACUCCAUUUGAUCUGCUUAUACCUGAUCAGAUUACAUUAGGGGUUCUUAAGUAGUUGUCUUUCGAGAACAUGCUUGAUUAACAAUUAAAGAGAUAAUGAAAAUUCA